Molecule: ribosomal RNA, 117 nt
Filed under: Danio rerio (zebrafish)
Lineage: Eukaryota; Metazoa; Chordata; Actinopteri; Cypriniformes; Danionidae
Source: RNAcentral
UGUUGCUGGCAGCUAGCUCUCUGCAACUCUCACAUGGUUGCCCACUGAAGCUAAGCAGGAUUGCACUCGGUCAGCACCUGGAUGGGAGACCACCUGGGAAAGCUAGAUUGGUGAGAC